Long non-coding RNA from Sus scrofa (pig), 4915 nucleotides. RefSeq lists it as uncharacterized. The record is from RefSeq and is a predicted model, not a curated record. Lineage: Eukaryota; Metazoa; Chordata; Mammalia; Artiodactyla; Suidae.
UCCAGACUGUCUGGGGGGGGGGGGGAUGGGGGGGGGGAAAUCCAUAGCCCUGUACCAGCCCUGCUUGGAACUGAGUCUGGAAAUUCCUCCUCUGAUCCAGCAAUUAGUGUUGGGCAAUUGUGGCAAGUCUGUGCUCUGUCACUAAACUGUCAAAACAGGCUGCUCUUCUUUUUGAGGUGGUCCCACUUGUUGGCAACUCUAAUAUCUCUGAAUGUGUUGGCCAAACUAUUUUGGAGAGAAUUCUUUGUUUCUCCACACAGUGAAACAUACUCCUUACCGAAGUACAGAGUCCUACUGGGACACUCUUAUUGGCUACAGAAUUGGCAAAUGUCACACUCAUUCUGAUGACCCUUCUAAACUUUCUUAGAAAGUGUAUUCAUUACAGCAGCAUUUUAGGAAAGCACACACUUGGAAGUAACUUAAGUCUCCUUCAACAGAUGAUUUAAAAAAGUAAUGUGUGUACACACACACACGGAAACACUUGCAAGUAACCUAAAUGUCCUUUGAUAGACGAUGUAAAAAAUAAUGUACACACACACACUUGGAAACACUCGAAAGUCACCUAAACAUCCUUCACUAGAUGAUUUAAAAAAUCAUGCACGCGCACACACACACACUCACAAAAUAGGAGACCAUGCAGCUAUUUAAAAGAGAAAAAGUAGAUUUGUAAGUGCUGUUAUGAAAAGACGGUCAAGGUAUAUUGUGAGGAUGAAAAAAGUUAGAUGCUGAGCAAAGAGAUAGUUGCUCCCAUUUAUGUAAAAUAUGUGAGUGUGUGCAAUAUGUAAUUACAUAGCCAUUAAAAUCUGAAACAAAGGCAUUAAUUAUUGGUGAGGGGUAUUCUGAAAGGACUUUGAUUUCUCCAUAUCAUUUUAAUUUCUAAGCCAUGAUCAGGUAUUACUGGGGAAAAGAGGAAUAAAUAUAAUUUUAUAAUAUUUUUAGAGAAGAAAUAUAAAAUGUUGCUCAUCGUUUCCUCCACCCCCCCCCAAUAUCCUGACUGUCUGGGGUCAGUGGGCAGGUCUGCCCAAUUUAAACUCCCUCCUCCUGCCCAUCCUGUCCUCCCAAACAUCUCUAUACUUAGAAAAGUAUUUUCACAUACAUUAUCUCAUUAGACUCCAGUUGUUCACCCGUUUACUUUUAUUAGGCAAUGAGAGUAUAAACACCAAUUAGAAGAGGACAGCCCAGCAGUUGAGAGCCAUGGGCCCCGAAGCAAGGCAGACAGGCCUUUCAAGGGCAACUCCUCCACCUCCUAGCUGUGGGACCUCGAGCAAGUGAUUUCACUCCUCUGAACCUCAAACUCCUCACCUGGAAAAUGGAGCUAAUCAUUUACCGUGGGAAUGUAAUGAAUUAUUACAUGUAAAAUGCUUAGCACAGUCCCUUGCUCAUUAUGAACCAUCGAGAAAUGCUAGCUAUUUGGUUUUUAUUUUAAAGAUUUAACAAAGGUUUUUUUUUUUUUAAGAACAGCAAACACGGAGGAAAAAAAAAACAGAGCUUUAAAAGCCCAAGUAUCUCCAAACAGCACAAAAAUAACUCAGUUAUUCUUUCCAAAGGUGUUUAUUGUUAAAGUCUUCUUGUGUUUCCUUUCCCAGAAAAAAAUACUUAUAUGCUGGCAUAUGAAGCCAUCUUCUAUAUGUAUUUUAAAAAUUAAUACAAAAUUGAUCUUACUAUACACAGCAUUCUGCACCUUGCUUUUUUCCGCUUAUGAAAUUUUUUUACAUUUAUGUUAAAAUCCUUCUCAUAAAUAUUGCUGAAUUGUCCUUUGAAAAGAUCACACCAAUUCACAUUCCCUACCAAGGCAGUAUAGCCAACACAGACAAGUGUUGUUUCCUUACAACCUCACCCCAGGCAUUACUAAUUGUUGCCUCAUUUUACUGCUAUCAUCAUUUGCUUUAGGGUAUUUUCAGGACUGACAAAUGCAGGCUGGUAUUGUACAAGGAAUCUGCACGUCAGUCAGACAGUCCUAACGUUGCCCCUUGCCAGCUAGAUCUCCAAAGUUGGGCAUAAUAGCAGUAUCCAACUCAUAGGGCUCCUUUGAAGUACCAAUGUGCCAAUCCAUUCAAAGCACUUAGCCUUCCAAGCACUAACUGCUAAAUACAUGUAAACUGUGCGAAUAAUAACUUUCCACUCCCAAGGCUCCAGGUUGGGGGAGGGGUCACUUCUCCGGAGAGUGUGCCCUUGAGAUUCAGAACGUUUGCUUUAAUGCCAUUCUCAACCUCCACUCCCAAAGUAAUUAUUGCUCGGAUGAUCAUUUUCAAGAAUGCAGCUGAGUUUUAAACCAUAGCGUGAAGAAAUCUUAGGGUAGAAACUAUGCAGAAUAUGUAAGUUACAGGUACAUCGUCUCAUUUUAUGCAAUUAGUUGGGCACAAGUUUCAAGUGCACAACAGUUUGCUUCAGGCGCUAGUUGUUUGCUUCUCUUAUUCCUCCCCUCCAGUCGAUACCUCCUUGUGAUCCCUGGAGCCACUAAACUGUUCUGGAUAAUUUCCCCUCACUUCCACCUUCCAAACGAGCCCUCUCACCUUCCAGGUCCUGGGCAAAAAUACCAAAGCAAAACAAGCCAGGUUCGAUCUAGGUCCCAGACGCUUGCUUUCUUUUUUGCUUGAAGUUGCCUUGGAGUUAGCAGAAAGCUGAGUCUGCAGUGUCCACGGUCUUUGACGAUAGAUAGCAGUCUUCAGAAGAGCAUCACCUCAUCUCAUUUCAGUGCUUUAAGGAGGCCCCUUGAUAUCAGAUUGUCCUGGGGUCUUUCCAGCCUCUGCGAUUCCAAUCCUCUUUUUCAAAUCCUGCCUCCAGCUACUUCAGCAGUCAGUACUGUGUGUCCAGUUCCCUCUGGGUACACAGAACCAAUUUUCUACCUUUAUUAUCUUUUUUUCAUUAUAAAAAUUUUUUUGGAAAAAAAAAUGGUAAGGGGUAAUCCCACGACCCAAAGAAAUCACCAUUAUAUCUUAAUGCCUUUCACAAAUUUUUUUUUUCUCUGAGAGUGACCAAAUAUUUUUUAAACUAAGAAUAGAGUCAUAUAAUUUUGUAAGCUGCCUCUCUCACUUGCUGAAACCUCAUGUCUGUGUAAAGUGUUAAAAAUACUCCUGUACCCCGGGUAGCCUGCGUACAUCUUUCCCCCCAUAGCUUUAGCUUUCCUGUAACCCCCAGUAGUAUUUCAUCACAUUCAACCUUGCCCACCUGGAAUCCGAGACCAACCAAUGGGAUUUCACCGGAAGGGCUAAUGACCACCGAGGCCGCUACCUCGGCCCAGCCCGGCCAGGCAGACGCACCUCUGGAGACACAAAACUCUUGUUUUCCAGAUGUGACAGCUGAGCGAGUGAGUUCCUCGGAACGCAGGGGCCUACCAAAUAGAAAAGAAGACAUAACACACUUCCCUGUUGCUUCGACAUCAGUGAGGAACCUCGCCAUGGCUCGAGAGAUCCUCAUUUUGGAAAGCAAACCAAGGAAUUAAUGUGCGAAUGGCAAGUGUGCGUAUGAAACAAUGCACAUCUACUCCGACUGCAUUCAGAUUUUCUGAAAGUCUACAGAAAAGUGAAUGGCCUGGAGAGAGGAGAAUCAACUCAUGCCACGUCACGGCAAUCGCAAAUGUACCCAAAUGGUGACCGACAGACACUGUAGUUAUCUCCCGUGCCCAUCUCGACUUAUCCACUAGCAAUCGGCAUCCCGUAUUGUAUCACAUGCCAAUUCUACAGCCACUCUUGUUUUCCCUUUGGGAGUGCAACAAUUAUACAGAGGAAGCACCACGGAAGCAUGCACUUUGCGUUCCCACACAGAGCUCUGAGGUGAAAGGACAAGGGAGCAGAGUCACAAAAUGCCAAGACGGAGACUCAUUUCAAGAACUUGCAGACAUCUGGUUCUUCUAAUCAUAUGCAUAUAAUAUUUCUGUUAGUAUCAACGGAAGUGUUUUUAAUUCCUACAGGACACAGCCAGUAACGGCGGCCUCACCCAACAGUGAGUGCUCCUACUAUGUGGCUGGCAUUUUGACGUGUUCGUUUAAUCUGGAGAACCCUGUUAGGCCCUUUUUGGGCUCCGCAUCUACUUUGACGGACCAAUGGGAUGGAGGUCAAGCUAUUGCAAACUCUUGAAAAGGAUGAAAGGAACGGGAUGAAAGGAACGGGACUGACAGGAGAUGGAGGGGUGAGGUGGAAUAAUUCCUGCCUGUAUGGCACAGAGCUAUUUUCUCCUGGUCUGUUCCUGGUACCCGUGGAAACCACAGGAGCUGUGAACUCCCCAGGAGCUCUGAGAGGGAAACAAGUCACUUUCCUUGUCUUCUUCUAAUACAAAACUGUUUCGAGAUGGCUACCGUAUUGUAUUGGUGGCUAAUUUAAGGAUCUGUGUGUAACUGGUUAUUAAAAACAUUGCAUACCCCUAAAAAGUCAUUUUGAAAUGAUUCUAUUGUGCCUGGUUUCCGUGCAGGUGGCACUUCAUCCUAGAACACUAUAGAACCCAUCACAAAAUGCUACAGAAUGCUCUAGCUUUGCUUAAGGCAUCCUCUUGCAACAUCUCAGUAUUGAGUGUUUUCGAUCUUAUGGAUAACUUUUCUUGGGGAGGAACUGUUUUGUUGUACUUCAGAAAUUUAACACUUGAAGUAUUUUACAAUUUCUUAGUAACUGAUGUAAAGCUAGGAACGAAAUGUCCAUUCUGACUAGAUAAGGAAAUGUUUUUCAAAAUAUUUCCGCUGCAAUUUUUAGGGUGAAAUAGAGAAAUAGCAGGGUCAGUAUUUGACCACAGUGGCAACCAUCUAGGACCUGAGGGUGUAGGACUGUUGUGAUUCCAUAAAGACGUGAAACAUAUGACAGCACCAUACUGAACCUUAAAUACUCAGCAGAUAUCCAGCCAUAUCAUUCAGUCACUCGUCUCUUGCAUAGUCACAAUAGAAAAACACAUUUUUCAGGUUAGAAAAAGUUGAGAAUUUUUGUACAAA